UACAUCUGCCGGCAACUAGCUCACUGCAGCUCUCACAUGGUCGUCCACUGAAGCUAAGCAAGGCUGCGCUGGGUCAGUACCUGGAUGGGAGACCACAUGGGAAAGAUAGGUUACUGCUGAAA
Molecule: non-coding RNA, 122 nt
Organism: Danio rerio (zebrafish)
Lineage: Eukaryota; Metazoa; Chordata; Actinopteri; Cypriniformes; Danionidae
Source: Rfam